RNAcentral lists this ribosomal RNA (666 nucleotides) under bacterium 93-L049642-122-014-E12. RNAcentral's name for it is "bacterial SSU rRNA". It matches the Rfam family "Bacterial small subunit ribosomal RNA", at positions 61 to 724 of the family's 1533-position model. The record is from RNAcentral.
GUCGAACGGCAGCGCGGGGCAACCUGGCGGCGAGUGGCGAACGGGUGAGUAAUAUAUCGGAACGUACCCAAGAGUGGGGGAUAACGUAGCGAAAGUUACGCUAAUACCGCAUACGAUCUAAGGAUGAAAGCAGGGGAUCUUCGGACCUUGUGCUCCUGGAGCGGCCGAUAUCUGAUUAGCUAGUUGGUGAGGUAAAGGCUCACCAAGGCCACGAUCAGUAGCUGGUCUGAGAGGACGACCAGCCACACUGGAACUGAGACACGGUCCAGACUCCUACGGGAGGCAGCAGUGGGGAAUUUUGGACAAUGGGCGAAAGCCUGAUCCAGCAAUGCCGCGUGAGUGAAGAAGGCCUUCGGGUUGUAAAGCUCUUUUGUCAGGGAAGAAACGGUGAAGGCUAAUAUCCUUCGCUAAUGACGGUACCUGAAGAAUAAGCACCGGCUAACUACGUGCCAGCAGCCGCGGUAAUACGUAGGGUGCAAGCGUUAAUCGGAAUUACUGGGCGUAAAGCGUGCGCAGGCGGUUUUGUAAGUCUGACGUGAAAUCCCCGGGCUCAACCUGGGAAUUGCGUUGGAGACUGCAAGGCUAGAAUCUGGCAGAGGGGGGUAGAAUUCCACGUGUAGCAGUGAAAUGCGUAGAGAUGUGGAGGAACACCGAUGGCGAAGGCAG